GAUUGCAACACGAAGUGACAUUUUAGGAAAUGUCUCUUUGAUAAACUGUUGCACAGAAGUCUUACUGUAAGUGUGGUGGUUAUUUUAUGCAUCUACAUUCAUCAUUCUGUUCCAGCCUUUUGAGUGGCAAUACAAGUUCCCUGGUCCGUUGGCUGGAAAAACACUCCCAAAGGUUGAGGUUCCCACCACCAUGUGUGACAAGCAGUGGGGAUAGUGUGGUCAAACAAUUGCAUUUUUGUUUCAUCUGACCAUAAAACAAGAGACCAGAAAUCAUCUUCUUUGUCCAUGUAAGCGUUUGCAAAGGCCAAGCGGGCUUUCAAACGCCGUUUCUGGAGAAAUGGCUUCCUCAUUGGUCUGCGUCCGUGGAGCCCAGCAGUGUGGAGUGUCUGUUGGACUGUCUUGCCUUGAGAUGUUGCCACCACCAUAGCCCAGAUUCACCUGGAUGGCCUAGGUGGUGAUACUUGAAAUAAUUUUCAUCGUCCUGGCCAACACAGGGGUCGCUUUCAGCUUCUGACCACAUCCUCUGAGAUUUUCCAUGGUGUGGAACGUCUUGUAUUUUUGUAAAUAAUACUUUGCACUGUAGACCACUGGAACUUGAAAACAUUUAGAUAUGGCCUUUCCUGACUUGUGAGCAGCCACAACGCGCAGCCACAGGUAGCCAGUGAGCUCCUUUGUCUUUGCCAUAACUUUCCCCCUGUUAAGUUGAUUAAAAUAGCUGUUCCCAAUCAAUCAGGGGAAUUAGGAUGCUUUAGAAUAGCUUGAACUAUUUAGAAUGAUAUUGAACUUAGCACUUUUUCUUUUUUUUUUUUAAACUUUUCCAAUAGACUUUGACAGUGAAUUUUAAACAUGUCACUUUUUGUCCAAAUGUAAAUAAAAGCUGCUGAGUAAUUUUUUUCCCAAA
Phyllopteryx taeniolatus (common seadragon) is the source of this 901-nucleotide long non-coding RNA. RefSeq lists it as uncharacterized. The record is from RefSeq and is a predicted model, not a curated record. NCBI's taxonomy places the organism in Eukaryota, Metazoa, Chordata, Actinopteri, Syngnathiformes, Syngnathidae. The transcript has 2 exons.